UCCCAGAGCUUAACUCUGGAACUGCCAUCAAAACUUUUCAGCUAGAGUAUGAUAGAGGAAAGCAGAAUUUCUAGUGUAGAGGUGAAAUUCGUAGAUAUUAGAAAGAAUACCAAUUGCGAAGGCAGCUUUCUGGAUCAUUACUGACACUGAGGAACGAAAGCAUGGGUAGCGAAGAGGAUUAGAUACCCUCGUAGUCCAUGCCGUAAACGAUGUGUGUUAGACGUUGGAAAUUUAUUUUCAGUGUCGCAGGGAAACCGAUAAACACACCGCCUGGGGAGUACGACCGCAAGGUUAAAACUCAAAUGAAUUGACGGGGACCCGCACAAGUAGUGGAGCAUGUGGUUUAAUUCGAAGAUACGCGCAGAACCUUACCAACACUUGACAUGUUCGUCGCGACUCUAAGAGAUUAGAGUUUUCGGUUCGGCCGGACGAAACACAGGUGCUGCAUGGCUGUCGUCAGCUCGUGUCGUGAGAUGUUGGGUUAAGUCCCGCAACGAGCGCAACCCUCACUUUUAGUUGCCAUCAUUAAGUUGGGCACUCUGAAAGAACUGCCAGUGAUAAGCUGGAGGAAGGUGGGGAUGACGUCAAGUCCUCAUGGCCCUUACGUGUUGGGCUACACACGUGCUACAAUGACACUUACAGUGGGAAGCUAAGACGCGAGUCCAAGCUAAUCCCUAAAAUGUGUCUCAGUUCGGAUUGCACUCUGUAACUCGAGUGCAUGAAGCUGGAAUUACUAGUAAUCGCGGAUCAGCGCGCCGCGGUGAAUACGUUCCCGGGUCUUGUACACACCGCCCGUCACACCA
This 803-nucleotide ribosomal RNA is filed under the name uncultured Pelagibacterales bacterium. RNAcentral describes it as "SSU rRNA". It matches the Rfam family "Bacterial small subunit ribosomal RNA", at positions 600 to 1404 of the family's 1533-position model. Lineage: Bacteria; Pseudomonadati; Pseudomonadota; Alphaproteobacteria; Candidatus Pelagibacterales. The record is from RNAcentral.